GGAUCCAGACUUUGAUCAUGGCUCAGGACGAACGCUGGCGGCGUGCUUCAUACAUGCAAGUCGAACGAGAAGCUCACUUCGGUGAGUGGGAAGUGGCGGACGGGUGAGUAAUGUGUAGAGAAUCUGCCCUUGAGUGGGGGACAACAGCUGGAAACGGUUGCUAAUACCCCAUAUGAGAUAUUUUGGAAUAAAUAUCUUGAAAACUCCGGUGCUCAAGGAUGAGUCUGCAUCUGAUUAGCUAGUUGGGGGUGUAAUGGACCACCAAGGCGACGAUCAGUAGCUGGUUUGAGAGGAUGAUCAGCCACAAUGGGACUGAGACACGGCCCAUACUCCUACGGGAGGCAGCAGUAGGGAAUUUUGCGCAAUGGGCGAAAGCCUGACGCAGCAACGCCGCGUGAUUGAUAAAGCCCUUCGGGGUGUAAAGAUCUGUCAGUGGGGAUGAACAAUGACGGUACCCACAGAGGAAGCACCGGCUAACUCCGUGCCAGCAGCCGCGGUAAUACGGAGGGUGCGAGCGUUGUCCGGAAUCAUUGGGCGUAAAGAGUUCGUAGGUGGCCUGUUAAGUCUGGUGUUAAAUGCAGAUGCUCAACAUCUGUUCGGCACUGGAUACUGGCAAGCUUGAAUGCGGUAGAGGUAAAGGGAAUUCCUGGUGUAGCGGUGAAAUGCGUAGAUAUCAGGAGGAACAUCGGUGGCGUAAGCGCUUUACUGGGCCGUAAUUGACACUGAGGAACGAAAGCCAGGGUAGCAAAUGGGAUUAGAUACCCCAGUAGUCCUGGCCGUAAACGAUGGAUACUAGGUGUUGCGGGUAUCGACCCCUGCAGUGCCGAAGCAAACGCGAUAAGUAUCCCGCCUGGGGAGUACGCACGCUA
RNAcentral lists this ribosomal RNA (869 nucleotides) under uncultured Pseudomonadota bacterium. Its description in RNAcentral is "bacterial SSU rRNA". It matches the Rfam family "Bacterial small subunit ribosomal RNA", at positions 1 to 891 of the family's 1533-position model. Lineage: Bacteria; Pseudomonadati; Pseudomonadota. The record is from RNAcentral.